CGCGCAGGCGGCCGGGCAAGUCUGGUGUGAAAACGCUACCGCUUAACGGAGCGAUGUCGCUGGAAACUGCCCGACUUGAGUGCGAGAGAGGCGAACGGAAUACCUGGUGUAGCGGUGGAAUGCUCAGAUAUCAGGUAGAACACCGGAGGCGAAGGCGGUUCGCUGGCUCGUUACUGACGCUGAGGCGCGAAAGCGUGGGAUCAAACG
RNAcentral lists this ribosomal RNA (207 nucleotides) under uncultured bacterium. RNAcentral describes it as "partial 16S ribosomal RNA". It matches the Rfam family "Bacterial small subunit ribosomal RNA", at positions 568 to 774 of the family's 1533-position model. The record is from RNAcentral.